This is a non-coding RNA of Plectropomus leopardus (leopard coralgrouper), 338 nucleotides long. The record is from RefSeq and is a predicted model, not a curated record. Lineage: Eukaryota; Metazoa; Chordata; Actinopteri; Perciformes; Serranidae.
UCUGCAGAGAUCCUCACUCUGAAAGAAGUCUUCCAAAUAUCCAGUGAUGAUCAUGAUGUAGCCAUUAACAGAUACAGCCGCCUGUCCAAAAAGAGGGACAAUGACAAGUUGCGGGCGGAGGCCGUGGAGGACGUCUACACCUCCCGCAAGAAACAGCACCAGACCAUGAUGCACUACUUCUGCUCGCUCAACACUCUGCAGUACAAGAAGAAGACGGCUCUGCUGGAGCCGCUGCUGGGCUACAUGCAGGCCCAGAUCAGUUUCUUUAAGCUGGGAUCAGAAAAUCUCACCCAGCAGUGGGAGGACUUCCUGGGAACCAUAGGAACCAGUGUCCAAAA